GGAGUUUGGUCCGUGUCUCAGUACCAAUGUGGGGGACCUUCCUCUCAGAACCCCUACUGAUCGAUGGCUAGGUGGGCCGUUACCCCGCCUACUACCUAAUCAGACGCAUCCCCAUCCCAGAGCGAUAAAUCUUUAGUGAAACUCUGAUGCCAUCAUCGCACUACAUCAGGUAUUAGGCUCCCUUUCGGAAGGUUAUCCCUGACUCUGGGGCAGGUUGGAUACGCGUUACUCACCCGUGCGCCGGUCGUCGUCAAGGAAAGCAAGCUUUCCUCACGUUACCCCUCGACUUGCAUGUGUUAAGCCUGUAGCUAGCGUUCAUC
Molecule: ribosomal RNA, 320 nt
Filed under: uncultured Prevotella sp.
Lineage: Bacteria; Pseudomonadati; Bacteroidota; Bacteroidia; Bacteroidales; Prevotellaceae
Description: partial 16S ribosomal RNA
Source: RNAcentral